AUAUCAAUAAGCGGAGGAAAAGAAACCAACAGGGAUUGCCCCAGUAACGGCGAGUGAAGCGGCAAGAGCUCAAAUUUGAAAUCUGGCCCCGCACGGGGUCCGAGUUGUAAUUUGUAGAGGAUGCUUCGGGCAAGGCUGCGGCCUAACUCGCUUGGAACAGCAGGUCAGAGAGGGUGAGAGUCCCGUCCGGGGCCGUGCGCCGCGCCCACGUGAAGCUCCUUCGACGAGUCGAGUUGUUUGGGAAUGCAGCUCCAAAUGGGUGGUAAAUUUCAUCUAAAGCUAAAUACUGGCCAGAGACCGAUAGCGCACAAGUAGAGUGAUCGAAAGAUGAAAAGCACUUUGAAAAGAGAGUUAAACAGUAUGUGAAAUUGUUGAAAGGGAAGCGCUUGCCGCCAGACUUGCGGGUGGCGGUUCCCCCCGGUCCUCUGACCGGGGCUACUCCGUCAUCUCCAGGCCAGCAUCGGUUUGGGCGGUCGGUGAAAGACCCCGGGAAGGUAUCUACCUCCCGGUCGACUUAUAGCCCGGGGUGCAAUGCGACCCGUCCGGACCGAGGAACGCGCUCCGGCUCGGAUGCUGGCGUAAUGGUGGCAAGCGGCCCGUCUUGAAACACGGACCAAGGAGUCUAACAUCUGUGCGAGUGUUCGGGUGUCAAACCCCCGGCGCGGAAUGAAAGUGAACGGAGGUAAGAGCCCCCUCGCCGGGGCGCAUUAUCGACCGAUCCUGAAGUCUUCGGAUGGAUUUGAGUAAGAGCACAGCUGUUGGGACCCGAAAGAUGGUGAACUAUGCCUGAAUAGGGUGAAGCCAGAGGAAACUCUGGUGGAGGCUCGCAGCGGUUCUGACGUGCAAAUCGAUCGUCAAAUUUGGGCAUAGGGGCGAAAGACCUAUCGAACCGUCUGGUAGCUGGUUCCUGUCGAAGUUUCCCUCAGGAUAGCAGUAACGCGUUCAGUUUUAUGAGGUAAAGCGAAUGAUUAGAGGCCUUGGGGUUGUAACAACCUUAACCUAUUCUCAAACUUUAAAUAUGUAAGAAGUCCUUGUUGCUUCGGUGAACGUGGACACUCGAAUGCACCGUUACUAGUGGGCCAUUUUUGGUAAGCAGAACUGGCGAUGCGGGAUGAACCGAACGCGAGGUUAAGGUGCCGGAAUGUACGCUCAUCAGACACCACAAAAGGUGUCAAUGCAUCCAGACAGCCGGACGGUGGCCAUGGAAGUCGGAAUCCGCUUAGGAGUGUGUAACAACUCACCGGCCGAAUGCAUUGGCCCUGAAAAUGGAUGGCGCUUAAGCGUGCUACCUAUACCUCGCCGUCAGGGUUGCAGUGAUGCCCCGACGAGUAGGCAGGCGUGGGGGUCCGUGACGAAGCCCCGGGGGUGACCCCGGGUCAAACGACCCCUAGUG
RNAcentral lists this ribosomal RNA (1393 nucleotides) under Hydropunctaria adriatica. RNAcentral describes it as "eukaryotic LSU rRNA". It matches the Rfam family "Eukaryotic large subunit ribosomal RNA", at positions 40 to 1444 of the family's 3401-position model. Lineage: Eukaryota; Fungi; Ascomycota; Eurotiomycetes; Verrucariales; Verrucariaceae. The record is from RNAcentral.